RNAcentral lists this ribosomal RNA (1560 nucleotides) under Bacillus cereus. RNAcentral describes it as "partial 23S ribosomal RNA". It matches the Rfam family "Bacterial large subunit ribosomal RNA", at positions 1 to 1550 of the family's 2925-position model. The record is from RNAcentral. Lineage: Bacteria; Bacillati; Bacillota; Bacilli; Caryophanales; Bacillaceae. RNAcentral also lists the same sequence under 3 other names.
GUUUGGUUAAGUUAGAAAGGGCGCACGGUGGAUGCCUUGACACUAGGAGUCGAUGAAGGACGGGACUAACGCCGAUAUGCUUCGGGGAGCUGUAAGUAAGCUUUGAUCCGAAGAUUUCCGAAUGGGGAAACCCACCAUACGUAAUGGUAUGGUAUCCUUAUCUGAAUACAUAGGGUAAGGAAGACAGACCCAGGGAACUGAAACAUCUAAGUACCUGGAGGAAGAGAAAGCAAAUGCGAUUUCCUGAGUAGCGGCGAGCGAAACGGAACAUAGCCCAAACCAAGAGGCUUGCCUCUUGGGGUUGUAGGACAUUCUAUACGGAGUUACAAAGGAACGAGGUAGACGAAGCGACCUGGAAAGGUCCGUCGUAGAGGGUAACAACCCCGUAGUCGAAACUUCGUUCUCUCUUGAAUGUAUCCUGAGUACGGCGGAACACGUGAAAUUCCGUCGGAAUCUGGGAGGACCAUCUCCCAAGGCUAAAUACUCCCUAGUGAUCGAUAGUGAACCAGUACCGUGAGGGAAAGGUGAAAAGCACCCCGGAAGGGGAGUGAAAGAGAUCCUGAAACCGUGUGCCUACAAAUAGUCAGAGCCCGUUAACGGGUGAUGGCGUGCCUUUUGUAGAAUGAACCGGCGAGUUACGAUCCCGUGCGAGGUUAAGCUGAAGAGGCGGAGCCGCAGCGAAAGCGAGUCUGAAUAGGGCGUUUAGUACGUGGUCGUAGACCCGAAACCAGGUGAUCUACCCAUGUCCAGGGUGAAGUUCAGGUAACACUGAAUGGAGGCCCGAACCCACGCACGUUGAAAAGUGCGGGGAUGAGGUGUGGGUAGCGGAGAAAUUCCAAUCGAACCUGGAGAUAGCUGGUUCUCCCCGAAAUAGCUUUAGGGCUAGCCUUAAGUGUAAGAGUCUUGGAGGUAGAGCACUGAUUGGACUAGGGGUCCUCAUCGGAUUACCGAAUUCAGUCAAACUCCGAAUGCCAAUGACUUAUCCUUAGGAGUCAGACUGCGAGUGAUAAGAUCCGUAGUCAAAAGGGAAACAGCCCAGACCGCCAGCUAAGGUCCCAAAGUGUGUAUUAAGUGGAAAAGGAUGUGGAGUUGCUUAGACAACUAGGAUGUUGGCUUAGAAGCAGCCACCAUUUAAAGAGUGCGUAAUAGCUCACUAGUCGAGUGACUCUGCGCCGAAAAUGUACCGGGGCUAAAUACACCACCGAAGCUGCGGAUUGAUACCAAUGGUAUCAGUGGUAGGGGAGCGUUCUAAGGACAGUGAAGUCAGACCGUAAGGACUGGUGGAGUGCUUAGAAGUGAGAAUGCCGGUAUGAGUAGCGAAAGACGGGUGAGAAUCCCGUCCACCGAAUGCCUAAGGUUUCCUGAGGAAGGCUCGUCCGCUCAGGGUUAGUCAGGACCUAAGCCGAGGCCGACAGGCGUAGGCGAUGGACAACAGGUUGAUAUUCCUGUACCACCUCUUUAUCGUUUGAGCAAUGGAGGGACGCAGAAGGAUAGAAGAAGCGUGCGAUUGGUUGUGCACGUCCAAGCAGUUAGGCUGAUAAGUAGGCAAAUCCGCUUAUC